This 484-nucleotide ribosomal RNA is filed under the name uncultured bacterium. Its description in RNAcentral is "partial 16S ribosomal RNA". It matches the Rfam family "Bacterial small subunit ribosomal RNA", at positions 30 to 507 of the family's 1533-position model. The record is from RNAcentral.
AUUGAACGCCGGCGGCAUGCCUAACACAUGCAAGUCGAGCGGAUGAAGGGAGCUUGCUCCUGGAUUCAGCGGCGGACGGGUGAGUAAUGCCUAGGAAUCUGCCUGGUAGUGGGGGAUAACGUCCCGAAACGGGCGCUAAUACCGCAUACGUCCUGAGGGUGAAAGUGGGGGAUCUUCGGACCUCACGCUAUCAGAUGAGCCUAUGUCGGAUUAGCUAGUUGGUGGGGUAAAGGCCUACCAAGGCGACGAUCCGUAGCUGGUCUGAGAGGAUGAUCAGUCACACUGGAACUGAGACACGGUCCAGACUCCUACGGGAGGCAGCAGUGGGGAAUAUUGGACAAUGGGCGAAAGCCUGAUCCAGCAAUGCCGCGUGUGUGAAGAAGGUCUUCGGAUUGUAAAGCACUUUAAGUUGGGAGGAAGAGCAGUAAGUUAAUACCUUGCUGUUUUGACGUUACCAACAGAAUAAGCGCCGGCUAACUACGUG